This is a non-coding RNA of Schizosaccharomyces pombe (fission yeast), 1605 nucleotides long. NCBI's taxonomy places the organism in Eukaryota, Fungi, Ascomycota, Schizosaccharomycetes, Schizosaccharomycetales, Schizosaccharomycetaceae. The record is from the annotation of a GenBank genome assembly.
GAUGAGAAUAGUGAAAGUAUUAAUAAAAGAAGUAUUAAGAGGAUGGUGUUGGCAUAGUGGGAGCUGGAAGGGCACGUUCGGGAGGUGGUAAAGAGCUAGGCUUUUGCUGAGUAGGGAUUUGUUUGCUUUGUUCUCGAAGGAUAAGGAAACGAGAAAUCCUAUCGUCUUUGCUUAAAUCGGCCAUGCCUGUACUAUAAUAAUCAAAAUUGUCUUCCGCACGACCGAUUGCGGCUGAUCGAGCCUCACGAUAAAAUUUGCCAUUCCGAUAAUUAGAGUAGAUGUUGAUGAUGACAAGGAUAGACAAUAUGCCUGCAAAAACAAGCAUGCCUUCAUCGUCAAAUUUUCUGUUUUUAUUAGAAGCAUUUUGGUCAUUCAUAUAAUCAUAGGAAUUGUAGUAGUAUUCUUCCCAAGACCCCAUACCAGCAGAACGACGAGAUCUUGAAUAGGUAGGAUACCUCGCUUGAGACCAAUUUUGAGGCGAGGGAUGUGUAGGAUGAGACGGCUGAUUCCAGUGAAUUCCAAAUCUAUCGUAUUCCUCACGACGUCUCUUAUCAGAUAGUAAAGCGUUGGCUGCCAGCAAUAAACGAAAGUACUCUUCGUUGUGCUUAUUAAUUUCUGGCGGAGAUUCCGUAGGCGCUAGCUGAGAUGCAUUCUUCAUUUUGUCAGGAUGAUGCUUCUUAACCAGCUCAAUAUAUUUUCGUUUAAUGUCAUUAGCCGUACACGUACGAGGUAGUUCCAAAAUUUCAUAAGGCGUCAAUGACUUCAAUUCGGAAUAGGAAGUAAAACUGGCUGCUCGCCUCCAUAAGCUAUUUCGCACAAGAUUUAACCGAAAAAAUAUCUUUGACAUGUUCAAAACUUGUUCCAACAGAGGCGACGUUAGUUUCUGGAUACGAUGGAAGCUUUUAUGUAGUUAAUAUUCAACUGAGUAAGAUAUCAAUGUUGCUUCAUUGAAUGCAAACCGGCUGAUCGAGCGCUGCUUUUUUUAAAGUAAAAACCGCAAGAUACUCUGGUUCUAUAUAGUUUUAAAGCUGGAUAUGUAAAAGGAAGCUGGUUUGGUAAAUAUUUCAAGAGUUGGUACCAUAUCCGUCUGCUAUCCCUAUUUCGUGCCCUUGCUAUACUACGUGGGCGAAUCGCAGAGUUGUUGAGCUGCACCAACGAAUGAGAAGGAAACGCAGGAAAAUGUAAAGAUUUAGAGUAAUGGUAUUUAGUAAUAACAAACUUAUUUUUAUUUUAAUAUUCUUUUAAGAAAAUACAAAAUUUAAUCGCAAACGAAUUGAAAUAUUUUGGAAAUUCUUUUUUAUUGCCUUUCAAGGACGCCUUUCCUUCGUUAAAGACGCAUCAUUCUUUUAUCGAUAGAUUUGAAAAAGAAGAUCUUUAGUUUCAAUCGUACAACACAAUUCUUGCUACACGGUGUUUUUUGUUUGUUUGCAUUUCGCGUUUCUUUGACCUACAACGUUGAAUAGCGUCGCAUUGGUGACUUACCUUGGAAAUACGUUAUUUAUUUUCCGUUCGUAAUUCUCAAAAUUACAGGUUUGCCGUGGAUUAAAAGAUAAUUUGGUCCACGCUUGCUCUUUAACUAUCUUGAUUGCCCUAAUUGUUGUUUCU